GAUGAACGCUGGCGGCGUGCUUAACACAUGCAAGUCGAACGGAAAGGCCAGUGCUUGCACUGGUACUCGAGUGGCGAACGGGUGAGUAACACGUGGGUGAUCUGCCCUGCACUUCGGGAUAAGCUUGGGAAACUGGGUCUAAUACCGGAUAGGACCACUUCGUUGUUGUUGUGGUGGAAAGUUUUUUCGGUGUGGGAUGAGCUCGCGGCCUAUCAGCUUGUUGGUGGGGUAAUGGCCUACCAAGGCGUCUACGGGUAGCCGGCCUGAGAGGGUGUCCGGCCACAUUGGGACUGAGAUACGGCCCAGACUCCUACGGGAGGCAGCAGUGGGGAAUAUUGCACAAUGGGCGGAAGCCUGAUGCACCGACGCCGCGUGGGGGAUGACGGCCUUCUGGUUGUAAACUCCUUUCGCCAAAGACUAAUUUUGACGGUAUUUGGAGAACAAGCACCGGCUAACUACGUGCCAGCAGUCGCGGUAAUACGUAGGGUGCGAGCGUUGCCCGGAAUUACUGGGCGUAAAGAGCUCGUAGGUGGUUUGUCGCGUCGUUUGUGUAAGCCCAUGGCUUAACUGUGGGACUGCAGGCGAUACGGGCAUAACUUGAGUGCUGUAGGGGAGACUGGAAUUCCUGGUGUAGCGGUGAAAUGCGCAGAUAUCAGGAGGAACACCGAUGGCGAAGGCAGGUCUCUGGGCAGUUACUGACGCUGAGGAGCGAAAGCAUGGGGAGCGAACAGGAUUAGAUACCCUGGUAGUCCAUGCCGUAAACGGUGGGCGCUAGGUGUGAGUCCCUUCCACGGGGUUCGUGCCGUAGCUAACGCAUUAAGCGCCCCGCCUGGGGAGUACGGCCGCAAGGCUAAAACUCAAAGGAAUUGACGGGGGCCCGCACAAGCGGCGGAGCAUGUGGAUCAAUUCGAUGCAACGCGAAGAACCUUACCUGGGCUUGACAUACACCGGAUCGCAGCAGAGAUGUAGUUUCCCUUGUGGCUGGUGUACAGGUGGUGCAUGGUUGUCGUCAGCUCGUGUCGUGAGAUGUUGGGUUAAGUCCCGCAACGAGCGCAACCCUUGUCUUAUGUUGCCAGCAUUUGGUUGGGGACUCAUGAGAGACUGCCGGGGUUAACUCGGAGGAAGGUGGGGAUGACGUCAAAUCAUCAUGCCCCUUAUGUCCAGGGCUUCACGCAUGCUACAAUGGUCGGUACAACGCGCAGCGAGCCUGUGAGGGUGAGCGAAUCGCUGAAAGCCGGUCGUAGUUCGGAUUGGGGUCUGCAACUCGACCCCAUGAAGUCGGAGUCGCUAGUAAUCGCAGAUCAGCAACGCUGCGGUGAAUACGUUCCCGGGCCU
RNAcentral lists this ribosomal RNA (1335 nucleotides) under uncultured bacterium. Its description in RNAcentral is "bacterial SSU rRNA". It matches the Rfam family "Bacterial small subunit ribosomal RNA", at positions 28 to 1381 of the family's 1533-position model. The record is from RNAcentral.